ACAGGUGUAGCUCAGUGGCAGAGCACGUGCUUAGUAAGCACGAGGCCCUGGGUUCAACUCCCAGUAUCUCCA
RNAcentral lists this transfer RNA (72 nucleotides) under Camelus bactrianus (Bactrian camel). It matches the Rfam family "tRNA". From Rfam's summary of the family: Transfer RNA (tRNA) molecules are approximately 80 nucleotides in length. The record is from Rfam by way of RNAcentral. RNAcentral also lists the same sequence under 1 other name. Lineage: Eukaryota; Metazoa; Chordata; Mammalia; Artiodactyla; Camelidae.